Wasmannia auropunctata (little fire ant) is the source of this 1026-nucleotide long non-coding RNA. RefSeq lists it as uncharacterized. The record is from RefSeq and is a predicted model, not a curated record. The transcript is spliced from 2 exons. Lineage: Eukaryota; Metazoa; Arthropoda; Insecta; Hymenoptera; Formicidae.
AAAACGCCGCGCGUCCGACAGGUUAUUCUCUCACGGUGGAUGACAUCGCGCAUGCACGCGAUACGCUCGGAUGCAAAAUUGCCGCGAGAUCGAGCGGCAGGUAUGCAGCUGCAGUCGCCCCGAAAUAGGGUGCCCCUUAACGCCAUACGCAGUUAAGAUAACUGCGAUGAUUGAAUACCGAAUAUUAAGAAGGCAGCUUAAGCAGCAGCCCUUCUUACGUAAAAAAGUGUCGGUGAUACUAUAAAAAAGAACGCGGCUCCCGUUACGGACUUCAGGAAUUUUUGCUCAGUCGUUCGCUCGAGCUAUCAGAGCUGGAUAAUGCGCAGAGGCGCAUAAUGCCGGGCCGUUAUCUGUCCUUUCAAUGUACCCCGUAUCUCCUCUGGCUCUGGUUUCAAAACCCCCUCGGGAGGGCCGCGUCGUCUGGAAUAUCCCAAAGAGGGUUACGAGCGAAUGAACGAGCGUGCCUAUCCACCGUGACCGUUGGCGAUAGGAUAAGCGGCGCCCUGGACUUCCUACAUCGCUUUAAAAUUACCCGGCUACAGGACGAGAACAAUUAGCAUUGCCUACGUACGCGCGCGCCCGCGGAAGAAACGAUGAGAUAGCCCGUUAUCGCUGCCUACGUCGCGAAUCGCGGCGCUCGUCGAUAUACGCAUACGCACUGCGGCAUAAUCGGUCCUUGACUCGGCAAAACUGAGAAAAUAAAUUUAAAUUAUAGUAUAACAGAAAAUACAGAGGUACGCCGUGAAGACUGUAGUAAUUAAAAAAAAAAAUUAAUCUACUUGUGCAAGUCCGACGAUUACAAAGCGAUAAAGAUAUUAAAUUAUAACUUGAAAAAAUUUUAUUCAAAUUUAAUUUUAAAUUGGUAAAUUAUACACAUUAAUACGUUAAUUAUUAAAUCAAUUAAUCGUCACUUUUACAACAGCGCGCUUUAGUUAUGCUUCCAAUUUGCGCGAAUGCAAUGACUGGCGUUCCAUAUUGGCGUUAUUGCCAUCGGGAUGGCUCUGACCUUUCGCCGGCGUGGUGGCG